Cavia porcellus (domestic guinea pig) is the source of this 111-nucleotide ribosomal RNA. The record is from Ensembl. Lineage: Eukaryota; Metazoa; Chordata; Mammalia; Rodentia; Caviidae.
GUCUACAGCCAGACCACCCUGAACAAGUCCGAUCUCAUCUGAUCUCAGAAGCUAAGCAGGGUCGGGCCUGGUUAGUACUUGGAUGGGAGAAUGAGAUCCCAGUUGUUGAUU